RNAcentral lists this ribosomal RNA (443 nucleotides) under uncultured bacterium. RNAcentral describes it as "partial 16S ribosomal RNA". It matches the Rfam family "Bacterial small subunit ribosomal RNA", at positions 338 to 795 of the family's 1533-position model. The record is from RNAcentral.
CCUACGGGAGGCAGCAGUGGGGGAUAUUGGACAAUGGGGGAAACCCUGAUCCAGCGACGCCGCGUGAGUGAAGAAGUAUUUCGGUAUGUAAAGCUCUAUCAGCAGGGAAGAAAGAAAUGACGGUACCUGAGUAAGAAGCCCCGGCUAACUACGUGCCAGCAGCCGCGGUAAUACGUAGGGGGCAAGCGUUAUCCGGAUUUACUGGGUGUAAAGGGAGCGUAGACGGCGAUGCAAGUCUGAAGUGAAAGGCGGGGGCCCAACCCCCGGACUGCUUUGGAAACUGUAUGGCUGGAGUGCAGGAGAGGUAAGUGGAAGUCCUAGUGUAGCGGUGAAAUGCGUAGAUAUUAGGAGGAACACCAGUGGCGAAGGCGGCUUACUGGACUGUAACUGACGUUGAGGCUCGAAAGCGUGGGGAGCAAACAGGAUUAGAUACCCCGGUAGUC